Long non-coding RNA from Cotesia glomerata, 912 nucleotides. RefSeq lists it as uncharacterized. The record is from RefSeq and is a predicted model, not a curated record. The transcript has 5 exons. NCBI's taxonomy places the organism in Eukaryota, Metazoa, Arthropoda, Insecta, Hymenoptera, Braconidae.
CUCGUCCCAGAUACCUGGUUCACGUUGCGCAUGCUUGAGAAUUCCCCAUGAUAUUAAUAGAGGGGGAAGAAUGAGGGGAAUAAUUUUGUGGUUAUGAUUCUGUUUACAAAUAUAUUUAUUAUUGUAAUUCAGAAAAACAAUUAUAAAUUUUAAAAAACUUUUGUUUUUAUUUAAAUAAUAUUCUUUUUCCAACAAUCAGUUAUUGAAAAAUGGUGAAGUUGUGUUAUUUAUGUGAUAGAAAAGCGUCGAGAGCUGACAAUAUUUCUUUGCAUCAAUUUCCGAAAAAUUUGGAGAUACGUUUAAAGUGGCUAAAUGCUUGUGGAUUAACUGAAAAUAAUGAUGUAAAAAGAACUUGCAUAUGUUCCAGACAUUUCAAAGCUGAUGAUAUUUGUCAAUCAAGAAUUUUUGGAGUUGUUAAAUCUUCUAUAAAACGUAAUGCAGUUCCUACACUUUAUUUAAAAAAUCCACUCAGUAUUGAUAAAACUAGUAAAUUACCACCAAACACGCAGCUAUCGGAAGUAUUUGAUGAGAAUGGAGUCAGCAAUCAAUCGUCAUGUUUUUCUGAGAAUAAUAUUGUCAACCAAUAUAAUGUACUCAAUACUUUGCAAAAAAAGUCCAAAAAAAUGUUUUAAAGUAGACAAUACUGAAUGUUAAACCUCAAAUAAUAGUAGCAUUCAUUUUGGAGCCCCUUGUAAUCAAUCUGAUUUAAAUGAAUUUAUAGAAAAUGCAAAAUCAAAUCCUAUCAGCGAAGACGAAAAUACUGUUCCACAUGAAAUUGAUUCCCCAAAUCAAUUUCGAAAGCGUAAAUUUUACGAGCCUCGUCAUGUUAGUGAAAUUUCAAUAUCAGAUUUUGCGACGCCUAAAAGGAGUAAAAGAACCCUUUCUUUAAUAAAAGAGACUGAUAAAAAAAAA